CACAAACUCACUUCCUUGACAACUUCCUUCACAACAGCGCUGACGUCUGCGGAGGCUGCAUCGCACUAAAUGCUGUACGGUAACUUCAGAUGUCGCAUUGAUCGUGCAGAGCCUUUUUAUUGUCAACGUGUUAACAGUCAACUUGUGAGUCUGAAAAUUGACACUUGAUGUGAAGGAAUCUAUGCGACCUUCCGGUGACUCCCCUUCCACAACUGAACAAUGGACCAAGUUAUUUGCUAAAAAAGAAAGAAAGAUUAUUGAAAUCGUUCUGUUAGUUGUCAGUCUUGAGUCAUUAAUUUAAUAUUUUGAUAGUAUAGCACAGCAUGCCAUUGUGAUUUAG
Molecule: long non-coding RNA, 340 nt
Filed under: Salmo salar (Atlantic salmon)
Lineage: Eukaryota; Metazoa; Chordata; Actinopteri; Salmoniformes; Salmonidae
Description: lncRNA (ENSSSAG00000096076.1)
Source: RNAcentral